Molecule: ribosomal RNA, 253 nt
Filed under: uncultured bacterium
Lineage: Bacteria
Description: partial 16S ribosomal RNA
Rfam family: Bacterial small subunit ribosomal RNA
Source: RNAcentral
UACGUAGGGGGCGAGCGUUGUCCGGAUUUAUUGGGCGUAAAGAGCGUGUAGGCGGUCAGGUAGGUCCGUUGUGAAAACUCGAGGCUCAACCUCGAGACGCCGAUGGAAACCAUCUGACUAGAGUCCGGAAGAGGAGAGUGGAAUUCCUGGUGUAGCGGUGAAAUGCGCAGAUAUCAGGAGGAACACCGGUGGCGAAGGCGGGUCUCUGGGCAGUAACUGACGCUGAGGAGCGAAAGCGUGGGGAGCGAACAGG